UUUCGCAGUAGCUCUUGUUGU
This 21-nucleotide unclassified non-coding RNA is filed under the name Chlamydomonas reinhardtii. RNAcentral describes it as "small RNA Cre_4117". Lineage: Eukaryota; Viridiplantae; Chlorophyta; Chlorophyceae; Chlamydomonadales; Chlamydomonadaceae. The record is from RNAcentral.